UACGUAGGGGGCUAGCGUUGUCCGGAAUCAUUGGGCGUAAAGAGCGUGUAGGCGGCCCGGUAAGUCCGCUGUGAAAGUCGGGGGCUCAACCCUCGAAUGCCGGUGGAUACUGUCGGGCUAGAGUGCGGAAGAGGCGAGUGGAAUUCCUGGUGUAGCGGUGAAAUGCGCAGAUAUCAGGAGGAACACCGAUUGCGAAGGCAGCUCGCUGGGACGUCACUGACGCUGAGACGCGAAAGCGUGGAGAGCAAACAGG
This 253-nucleotide ribosomal RNA is filed under the name uncultured bacterium. Its description in RNAcentral is "partial 16S ribosomal RNA". It matches the Rfam family "Bacterial small subunit ribosomal RNA", at positions 524 to 776 of the family's 1533-position model. The record is from RNAcentral.